AGUGAACGCUGGCGGUAGGCCUAACACAUGCAAGUCGAACGGCAGCACAGUAAGAGCUUGCUCUUACGGGUGGCGAGUGGCGGACGGGUGAGGAAUACAUCGGAAUCUACUUUUUCGUGGGGGAUAACGUAGGGAAACUUACGCUAAUACCGCAUACGACCUACGGGUGAAAGCAGGGGAUCUUCGGACCUUGCGCGAUUGAAUGAGCCGAUGUCGGAUUAGCUAGUUGGCGGGGUAAAGGCCCACCAAGGCGACGAUCCGUAGCUGGUCUGAGGGGAUGGAACGCCAAACUGGAAAGAGAGAACGGUCCAGACUCCUACGGGAGGCAGCAGUGGGGAAUAUUGGACAAUGGGCGCAAGCCUGAUCCAGCCAUACCGCGUGGGUGAAGAAGGCCUUCGGGUUGUAAAGCCCUUUUGUUGGGAAAGAAAAGCAGCAGGUUAAUACCCCGCUGUUCUGACGGUACCCAAAGAAUAAGCACCGGCUAACUUCGUG
Molecule: ribosomal RNA, 492 nt
Filed under: uncultured bacterium
Lineage: Bacteria
Description: partial 16S ribosomal RNA
Rfam family: Bacterial small subunit ribosomal RNA
Source: RNAcentral